This 4351-nucleotide long non-coding RNA is filed under the name Gallus gallus (chicken). The record is from RNAcentral. Lineage: Eukaryota; Metazoa; Chordata; Aves; Galliformes; Phasianidae.
CUGCAAGUGGGGAAGGGUCUGUGCUUGGAGGUCUCUCCCUUUUGGAGUUUUCCCUGCAAGCUGAGCUCUUUAGAGAUAGUAGCGAGGUGAAAGUAGAACCACGGGAGCUGACAGAAGCACGGUGAUGAGACAAAAAGUGUGCUGCAGUAAACACGGCUGAAGGAGAUGACAUUGACGAGAGCGAUGGGUUGCACUGAGGACGGAAGCGCAGGCAACAGCAGCAAAAAAUGCAGCAAGGGUAAAGACCUUCCCUUUGGGUACAGGAGUAAAAGCUGACAGCUGACAGGAGCGAUGCCACUGGUGGGAACAAGGACUGCCACUGGUCAAAGGAGGGUCCUUCAUGGUGCUCAGCAUGCCAGCACUCAGCUCUGCGAGCUCCUUGCACAGACUGGGGAUGAGAGGGGCUGACAUCAUUGCACCCUUAACUGCCCUUCUGGAAAGAUAAGGAGGAUUGCAGUAUUGCAUGCUGAGAUAAAAAGGAAACAGGAGGUGUGGGAAAUCAAAAGCUAUUGGUGACAGCCCCAGAAGACAGUCGCACUGCACCAGAAGACCUUGUACAAUGGGAAGUGUGAGAGCCAUCGUGCCAUUGCACUCUGUUACUCCAGCUAACAGCAUGAGGCUGACAGAAUCUUCUAGCAAUUAGCAAACCUGUUGGUGUCCAUCUUUGUGUAACACAUGAACAAAACAGGCACAGCUAUUCGGGGAGACUGGCAGGAAGGAAUAGUGGGAGGAGGACGACAAGUGGGGCACCUCUGCAGAAAUAAAACGUCAUUACAGUGUAUAUUACAAAACCAGAAUACGAAGAUUUCUAGUUUUGUGUGAAAUAACACACUGCAAUAUGAAAACUAGUAGCUAUAAAGCGUGUCAUCACCCACAUCCAACUGCUGCUAGUAGAGAAGGAACAGAGGAGGAAACAUCCGCUCCAUGUAAUCCUUGCAGCCUUCAGUACUUCUGCAAGCAGCUCCGUGUAACUUCACCCAGAUGCCACGAACAGGUCUUGUUUUGCCCAUUUUUGCCUGAAAUCCUGUGAUCACAUGGAGUCCAUGGUUUUAACCUUAUAGCUACUCACGCAGUGUAUUUGCAAUGACAUGCACAAGAUGCGCCCUUUUCACUUGAUUUUAGUGUCUUCCUGACCCUCUGAAGGCUGGAGCAGAAUUGCUCUGAAGCUGCCGAGGCUCAGCACUGAAGCUGCCCAGUACAGCCUCAUCACUUCCAGCACUGAGGCAACAUGUCCUUGUUUUUUGCCAUCCUGUUUGAUGCAUCGCCCUAGCACUGCGAUGGCAGACAUCCAGCCACGGGAAGGAGAGCCCUGAUCAAUACAUCUCUGCUGUGCAGACCUGAAUUAACUGCACCUCACUUUCCCUUGACAGAGACACAGAUCACAGGCAGCUGCAGCUUCCACUGCGAGUAACACGAAUUCUGGAAGCAUAUUCAUUACCUGGUUGUUAGAAGCAACAGAGCAUGCAGGCCUCACCCUGCCUGGGCUACCUGCAAAACCAAUGUCUCUGUUUGAUGGAGUGAGUGCCAGCCACUCACCUUCCCACUCUAACCUUCAUGUGGCAGGGCCGUGACAACUGCAUAUAGUGUCACAUCACACAACGUUUCACUGAGCCUCACAGAUAGAUGGCUUGAUUUGUUUCAUGGCCUGCUCUGUGGCAGUGUUUCCACUGCAAACCCUGGUUUAAGGACAAAAUAUAUUGGCUUUCAUAUGAAACCUAGCCAAGGAGAAGCCCGAGGAGGUCCAAAGCUCUCUGUCUGUACCCAGCUUACAGCACUUACGGCAUUCCAACCAAUUCCACCAGCUCCCACUAUUUUUUAUGUUGUAGGACUCAGGAUUUCCUAACAAUUACAGUUCCUUAACAGAACCUCCGUAGCUACUGCUUGUAUUGCUGCCCCCCCCCCCCCCCCCAAAAAAAAAAGGCAAACCCAAAACCACAAAGGACUUUCCAUCUGCUGCACAGAAAAAGCCAUGCUCCCACAGGGCACAGUUGGGUUUUUAUUCUGUUCACACUGCAGAGAUAACAGGGCUUUCCUUGUUGCCAACUCACAAGUCUCAUUUGUUGCGGUAAGGCAGACACACACAAACCUCAGCUCUCACACCAGAAAGGAAAAAUGAGACCUCUACAGUUGUAAAGAGGAACUUAAAGCGCCGUGACUUCAGUACUCACCUCCAGACAAUAAACAAGCACAGCCUCUCACUUAUUUUUAAGCCCAUCGUGGUGUGAGAAGUGGACCUCCCUUGCAAGCACUGAACAUUUAGGUUUAACACCGUGCUUGUCUUCAUGCAUCAUAGAAUCAUAUCAUAGAAUCAUAGAAAGGCCUGGGUUGAAAAGGACCACAGUGCUCAUCCAGUUCCAACCCCCUGCUAUGUGCAGGGUCGCCAACCACCAGACCAGGCUGCCCAGAGCCACAUCCAGCCUGGCCUUGAAUGCCUCCAGGGAGGCAUCACUGAUUCAUCUCACUUCCAACUGCAAACCUUUCACCAACAGGAAUACACAUGAUGCAGAUAGAGCCCAGCUUGAACUUACAGACUAUCAGGACAGGAAAAAGUCAUCCCAAGUGCCUCAUGUGUAUUUAUUUCUGUGGCAUUACUCUUCAGCAAAGGGCUGGGUUUCCAUAUAGUGAGAGGAAGGUCCACAAGUGCAGCUCAUCUGGGUUCAUUCUGACAUAACUGAUGCUGGUGCCAUUUUUGGCCCAUUAAACCACAUACAAACCCAUACAUCAGAGACAUAUUUGCACAAUGGGACCCAGAUCUGAGUUCCUAGUGAGAAGCAGCAUCACUCCUGCUCUGCUUCCCACCCCACGUGACAGCAUGGGAGAGCCCUGCUUUUCUCUCCCAGAACUCUGCUUAGGUGUCAGUGUGCCCUUUAACAGAUAAUGCAACCAUGAUGCCAUGGAAUUUUGCAUAAAUACUCAAAGCAAAGGCAGGCUGAGAAAACUGGGAGCAACAGCAAGUGCCUGAUCAAAGUGAGGUGAAGAGAAAUUGAAAAGAAGGGAUCAAAACAGAGAUACUCUGUUGCCUCAAAAGCAAUGAGAGUACUGCAAUACUUUUGCUUACUUGGAAAAGGAACACUUCCUCUAGGAGUGAAGAUUCCUGCUGUUCUGUUUCAACCUGCAAUGAGAUGGACCCAAAGCAAAAUGGGGAGGGAGAGAAGAUGUAAGGGCCUGAGGGAAAAAAAUCAAGAGGAACCAGAGCAGGAAAAUGAAAGUGGGUUUGGGGUGGCAGGGGAGCAAAGUGCAGAAACAGAGCUCUCGGUGGAGCAGAUGGUAAAGGGAGGAGGAAAGCAGAGGUGUGAGGGGAUGGUUUGAAGUUCCUGCUCCUUAUAUCUUAGAACAUGGGAGGCUUGUUUUAACUGAAAUACUGCAGCAGGCAGUCAGACCAAGGAAGCCUCCAAGUAAGCAAAUCUCCUGCUGAGAUAAAGCAGCAUGUCGGUGCUGAUGUCAGUCAGAGCACUGUUGAUACUCGUCUCCAUGAGACCUCCAGCAGCUGGGACUGAUGGGCACGCUGCCCCACCAGUGUCACAAAGCUAACGGAUGCACAUGCCUACAGCCUCGGAUGUCACACUGGCUCUAAGUCAGGUGCUCAGCCUAUCUUCACCCACUUCUCCCGACAGCAUCAUUUCCUACACAUGUGGAAGAAAGCAUUACUCUUUCCAAUCCUUAAAGGGAGCUUAUAAGCAGGAGGUAAAUCAACUUUUUACAGUUGGGGAAUGGUUUGAAACUUAAAGAGAGGAGAUGUAGAUUAGAUGGCAGGGAAGUCUUCCACUGAGAGGGCGGUGAGGUGCUGGCCCAGGCUGCCCACAGAGCUGUGGGUGCCCCAUCCUGGAGGUGCCCAAGGCCACGGAUGGGGCCCCAGGCAGCCUGAGCUGGUGCCUGGUGCAGUGUUUGGCAGCCCUGCCUAUGGCAGCGGGUGGAACUAGGCGAUCGUUGAAGUCCCUUCUGAUCGAAGCUAUUCUACUCAUACCAAAAGGCACACAAAAUGCUUCAUGUGAAGCCAUUAUCAGAAGCAAUAUGAACUACCUGAGUGGAAUUGUCUUCUGGCUCCAAGGAACUUAAAGAGAUUCUGUGCAGGGCAGGAACAGAAUAUAAACAGUUGGCAUCUGAUCUGCAUUCACCUUGACUCCCACUCUGUAGGUGCAUCCAGAGAGACAGAACAUAUCGGAUAAGUGUGAGCUGCAUUUUAUUGGAAGCUUUGUUCAACCGGCAAGAAAUCAUGUGCCAGCUCUGAGUUCAACCAUUAAUAACAGAAACAGAUUAAUUGUAAUCUCACCCACGGAAAGCUACAGGUGAACCAACACCUGCCUCCAGUUCUUCUGCAGCUAUAAUUUGUAUCCUAUUCUCCUAACUGAAG